UUGCUAAAGUUAGGAAGAGUUGCGAACGGGUGAGUAACGCGUAGGUAACCUGCCUACUAGCGGGGGAUAACUAUUGGAAACGAUAGCUAAUACCGCAUAACAGCAUUUAACACAUGUUAGAUGCUUGAAAGGAGCAAUUGCUUCACUAGUAGAUGGACCUGCGUUGUAUUAGCUAGUUGGUGAGGUAACGGCUCACCAAGGCGACGAUACAUAGCCGACCUGAGAGGGUGAUCGGCCACACUGGGACUGAGACACGGCCCAGACUCCUACGGGAGGCAGCCAGUAGGGAAUCUUCGGCAAUGGGGGCAACCCUGACCGAGCAACGCCGCGUGAGUGAAGAAGGUUUUCGGAUCGUAAAGCUCUGUUGUAAGAGAAGAACGUGUGUGAGAGUGGAAAGUUCACACAGUGACGGUAACUUACCAGAAAGGGACGGCUAACUACGUGCCAGCAGCCGCGGUAAUACGUAGGUNCCCGAGCGUUGUCCGGAUUUAUUGGGGCGUAAAGCGAGCGCAAGGCGGUUUAAUAAGUUUGAAGU
This 535-nucleotide ribosomal RNA is filed under the name Streptococcus infantarius. RNAcentral's name for it is "bacterial SSU rRNA". It matches the Rfam family "Bacterial small subunit ribosomal RNA", at positions 77 to 595 of the family's 1533-position model. Lineage: Bacteria; Bacillati; Bacillota; Bacilli; Lactobacillales; Streptococcaceae. The record is from RNAcentral.